CGGAGUAGUAAUGGACUCAAUGCCAGCGCGGGGCGAGCGGAGCCCCUCAACCGGGCUCGUCUGUAAGACCAGAGGCAACUGGGACCUGAGAAGCUCCAACCUUCUCUCCUUGGCUUUCAGCAGUAUCAUUAACCCCAGCCUUGCCAUGUGUUCCCGUAGAGGAAUAGAUGCCGCCACACCGUAGUCAGCACUGGUCAUUGGACCACCUUUGCUCAAUUGAAUGCAAAUAAUACCUAAUGUAUGAAUAUGUUAGUUCUAUAAUAAGAAGAAUAGCUAAAUUUUCUGAGACAUCAACUUUGUGGGACAACAAGGCAUUUGGAGAAGUGGAAGCAAUGGACAGAGUGGGAGAUCUCAGCUGAUAACAAGAGCAGAGACUAAGCCAACUCUUUCUGGCCGCUACAAAGAAGAAAAAGAGCCCACAGGAAAGGUCUUGAACUGAGAAUGGACCCGGAGUUUAAAACAGAAAUGCUUGAAUUAUCUCGUUAUGCCAUGUUAUCUACUUUGCGGACAUUCCAAGCUCAGCUGGAUUGUGUUGAGGCAUGAUUUGAAGUAAGGCAACACUGAAAUUGAUAGCUGUGAAAUGACAGCAGCAGAUGGACCUGGCUAGCAUGAAGCCAUCAAAGGUACUUCACGGUGCAAGAUAGUGUUCUCCACCUCUACCUCCCUUUGUAUUCCAGGCAGGAAGAAUAAGAAAGCUUUGAGGAGGAAGGGCUGGCACCUAUGCAAGGAAAGCAAAACUACAUAGGAAUUCCUGGUCUUAAUUGUUCAUUGUGGAUCUCUGAACGGGAAGUAUGGAACACUCUUUUCCCAAAUCCGUUUGACCUUGAAAAGCAUCCUAAGAAAUACACCUUGGAAGUGCUAUUUGGGAUUCUUCAGCACUAAGCCUUGUGAUUAUUUUACAGAGUUUGCAAAAAGUCCGCCUCAUUAAAAGAAGCUCUUAAUUUGCCCUUUUCCCAUAUUUUUCGGCUAAGAGAUCUGGUUGCCUUCUCAUUCAGCUAAAUAAGAGAGGGAGAAAUUAAGGAUAUGGGAAAGAGGAGCCUGGACCUACUUAACGGGGACUUGAACAGAAUACAAGGUGUGGUGCACAGCCAGGUUGAAGGGCUUCAGGAGGCAGGCAUGUAGACAGGACAAGAAACUGGCAGGAUCGAGGCUGGCAGUGAAGCUAGCAGUCGGUGCAGACUCUUCCAGGAACAAAGUCAAGGCAAGAUGAGGAGAUGAGGCAGCACGGGGGCUUGGUUAAAUAGGAUCGGAAUUGCAGAUAAUAUAGUCUCGUGGAGCAUCGGGUCUCAGGACCCCAACCCUAGGGAGGAACUGAGUCUUAACCCUCUGUCUGGCACCUGAAAUAAAUGCCUCUUCAUUUUCUGUCUCUGGCGUCUCAGAUUGUUUUUCCCUAGUUACAGCGGCCAG
Long non-coding RNA from Equus quagga, 1407 nucleotides. RefSeq lists it as uncharacterized. NCBI's taxonomy places the organism in Eukaryota, Metazoa, Chordata, Mammalia, Perissodactyla, Equidae. The transcript is spliced from 6 exons. The record is from RefSeq and is a predicted model, not a curated record.